RNAcentral lists this ribosomal RNA (868 nucleotides) under uncultured bacterium. RNAcentral describes it as "bacterial SSU rRNA". It matches the Rfam family "Bacterial small subunit ribosomal RNA", at positions 42 to 885 of the family's 1533-position model. The record is from RNAcentral.
GCGUGCCUAACACAUGCAAGUCGAACGAGAAAGCUCCUUCGGGAGUUAGUAGAGUGGCGCACGGGUGAGUAACACGUGGAUAAUCUGCCUGAUAAUCUGGGAUAACAUUUCGAAAGGGAUGCUAAUACCGGAUAAGCCCACAGCCUCUUCGGAGGCAGCGGGAAAAGAUGGCCUCUUCUUGAAAGCUAUUGUUAUCAGAUGAGUCCGCGGUCCAUUAGCUAGUUGGUAGGGUAAUGGCCUACCAAGGCAACGAUGGAUAGCUGGUUUGAGAGAAUGAUCAGCCACACUGGAACUGAGACACGGUCCAGACUCCUACGGGAGGCAGCAGUGGGGAAUUUUGCGCAAUGGGGGAAACCCUGACGCAGCAACGCCGCGUGAGUGAUGAAGGUUUUCGGAUCGUAAAGCUCUGUCAAGAGGGAAGAAACCUCCAACGGCUAAUACCUGUUGGAAUUGACGGUACCUCUAGAGGAAGCACCGGCUAACUCCGUGCCAGCAGCCGCGGUAAUACGGAGGGUGCAAGCGUUGUUCGGAAUUAUUGGGCAUAAAGCGCGUGUAGGCGGUUAGUUAAGUCUGAUGUGAAAGCCCCGGGCUCAACCUGGGAAGUGCAUUGGAUACUGGCAAACUUGAGUACGGGAGAGGGAAGUGGAAUUUCGAGUGUAGGGGUGAAAUCCGUAGAUAUUCGAAGGAACACCAGUGGCGAAGGCGGCUUCCUGGACCGAUACUGACGCUGAGACGCGAAAGCGUGGGGAGCAAACAGGAUUAGAUACCCUGGUAGUCCACGCCGUAAACGAUGGGUACUAGGUGUUGCGGGUAUUGACCCCUGCAGUGCCGAAGCUAACGCAUUAAGUACCCCGCCUGGGGAGUACGG